This 329-nucleotide ribosomal RNA is filed under the name uncultured eukaryote. Its description in RNAcentral is "partial 18S ribosomal RNA". It matches the Rfam family "Eukaryotic small subunit ribosomal RNA", at positions 1470 to 1796 of the family's 1831-position model. The record is from RNAcentral.
CCCUUAGAUGUUCUGGGCCGCACGCGCGCUACACUGAUGCAUUCAACGAGUUUCUUCCUGGUCCGAGAGGAAUGGGUAACCUUUUGAAAGUGCAUCGUGAUAGGGAUAGACUAUUGCAAUUAUUGGUCUUCAACGAGGAAUUCCUAGUAGACGUAGUUCAUCAGACUGCAUCGAUUACGUCCCUGCCCUUUGUACACACCGCCCGUCGCUCCUACCGAUUGAAUGAUCCGAUGAAUAUCAUGGAUUGAGAGUACGAAUGGGUUCGCUCAUUUCUGCUGCUCGAGAAGUGAAGUAAAUCUUAUCAUUUAGAGGAAGGAGAAGUCGUAACA